UAGAUUGUACUUCAUGAAAUCAUCUCUGUAGUAUAUAUUCAAUACUGCUUUUCGCAAAGCUAAGUCGAUGUAUCUACUAUGACAGCUAUUGUUCUUUUUUUUAGCAGGGAAGGACGGACUUAGUAUUUUGGUUGUAACGUCAAGAUUUUGGUCACUGAUGUGUGUUUACUCUUAUUACUUAAUAAAAAAGCUAAGUGAAGUGGAGAUCUUUGAGUAGA
Molecule: small nucleolar RNA, 218 nt
Filed under: Polistes fuscatus (common paper wasp)
Lineage: Eukaryota; Metazoa; Arthropoda; Insecta; Hymenoptera; Vespidae
Description: small nucleolar RNA U3
Rfam family: Small nucleolar RNA U3
About the family: Small nucleolar RNAs (snoRNAs) are involved in the processing and modification of rRNA in the nucleolus. There are two main classes of snoRNAs: the box C/D class, and the box H/ACA class. U3 snoRNA is a member of the box C/D class.
Source: RNAcentral